AGGCCCCUCGCAAAGUCUCGCGGCAUUCCGAGUCCGGCGGACGAAGUUGGCCAGCCCCACCCCCCAAGGCUAUAGCCCACCCGUUUUUGUGGCCUUUUUCCGCUGGACGAACUUGGCGCCCCGGCCUUCGGGCGGUUAUUUUUGGGCGCGGCUUUGCCCGCGGCCUAUUUUUGGCACACGGAGGCCCCUCGUAAAGUCUCGCGGCAUUCCGAGUCCGGCGGACGAAGUUGGCCAGCCCCACCCCCCAAGGCUAUAGCCCACCCGUUUUUGUGGCCUUUUUCCGCUGGACGAACUUGGCGCCCCGGCCUUCGGGCAGUUAUUUUUGGGCGCGGCUUCGUCCGCGGCCUACUUUUGGCACACGGAGGCCCCUCGUAAAGUCUCUAGGCAUUCCGAGUCCGGCGGACGAAGUUGGCCAGAUCCACCCCCCAAGGAUAUAGCCCACCCGUUUUUGUGGCCUUUUUCCGCUGGACGAACUUGGCGCCCCUGCCUUCGGGUGGUUAUUUUUGGGCGCGGCUUUGCCCGUGGCCUAUUUUUGGCACACGGAGGCCCGUCGUAAAUUCUCGCGGCAUUCCGAGUCUGGCUGACGAAGUUGGCCAGCCCCACCCCCCAAGGCUCUAGCCCACCCGUUUUUGUGGCCUUUUUCCGCUGGACGACUUGGCGCCCCGCCCUUCGGGCAGUUAUUUUUGGACGCGGCUUUGCCCGCGGCCUAUUUUUGGUACACGGAGGCCCCUCGCAAAGUCUCGCGGCAUUCCGAGUCCGGCGGACGAAGUUGGCCAGCCCCACCCCCCAAGGCUAUAGCCCACCCGUUUUUGUGGCCUUUUUCCGCUGGACGAACUUGGCGCCCCUGCCUUCGGGCGGUUAUUUUUGGGCGCGGCUUUGCCU
RNAcentral lists this long non-coding RNA (882 nucleotides) under Citrus x clementina. RNAcentral describes it as "Citrus clementina (C. clementina) long non-coding RNA (CCLE_LNC006333)". The record is from RNAcentral. Lineage: Eukaryota; Viridiplantae; Streptophyta; Magnoliopsida; Sapindales; Rutaceae.